RNAcentral lists this long non-coding RNA (452 nucleotides) under Anas platyrhynchos platyrhynchos (common mallard). RNAcentral's name for it is "lncRNA (ENSAPLG00000026524.1)". The record is from RNAcentral. Lineage: Eukaryota; Metazoa; Chordata; Aves; Anseriformes; Anatidae.
AACAGCGAAUGGUCAUGCUUUCUUGAUCUGCUAAAGCUGAUUAACAUUUUAGUGGCAUUUUUCCAUGCAACACUUCAACACAGGAAAAUCAAAAGAUAAAUAGAUAUUAAAUGUGUUUGUUUUUUUUUUUUUCUUUUUUUUUUUUUUUCCCUAACUUAUCUUCAAAUCAGAUGAAAGCUUCAGCCAUAUCAGCUCAUCCCAUAAAAUAUAAUUCUAUUAUUUAUUUUUCUCUAACAUGGUCUCUUCUCUUGAAGGAGCACAGAGUAUUAAUGAUGCCCUUCAUGCUAAGACAAGAUGGACAGGUCUUCAUGAAGAGAUGUCUUACUCAGAGAAACCAGAACAUGGCCUGCAAAUCUGAAUCAAUGUGAGAAGUUCAGAGAAAAAGAACAAUAUAGAGAUAAUUCAAUCUUUCCUGUCUUUGUGGCAAAUAAGAGGUUUUGAACAUGUAUGAG